Platichthys flesus (European flounder) is the source of this 1068-nucleotide long non-coding RNA. RefSeq lists it as uncharacterized. The transcript is spliced from 2 exons. NCBI's taxonomy places the organism in Eukaryota, Metazoa, Chordata, Actinopteri, Pleuronectiformes, Pleuronectidae. The record is from RefSeq and is a predicted model, not a curated record.
UUUAAAAGUCUGUUAAUUACUUAACCUGGCCCAUGUAUGACUUUACAUAUCUGUGUAUUGGUUUCAUGUUCCUCUAGAAGGUCCAACUUGACACACAACUUGAAUCCAACCAGACUGAACACUGACUCCAGGGACAGACGAGCCUGAAGGACACAGCUGUGAUGACCAUGUUCUGUCUCUUAUGGCAAAGCAGAAAUAUAAAACACUGGGUUCUUAUCUAAAGUGUAUCAAAUCAGAUCUCCACCAUGUUGCUGCUGAGGACAUCAGGUGCUGCAGUUCUUCAUCUAUGAAGAGAAAAAACGCACUGUUAAAGAAUGUUUUGUGUUGUGUAUAAAGCACAACAGAUUUCAGAUAGAACUGUUGUACUGUGGUCUUGGUUUAUAUCCUCAUGGUGAAAUGUACAUAUUUUAAGUCCCUUCUGAUAAAAGUGCUGAAAGAAAUACAACAUUGUACAAAUACAUAAAAUGUCUUUCUACCUCAUCAGUACUAUUCAAGGUGAUAAUCUCCCACAGACCUAUUGAUAACAGUCCAAAUCAAGUCUUUCCACUUCUCUCAGUGUGAAAACAUAAUUCUAUAAUUAAUUUGAGAACUGUUUACAACACUGAUGUGUGGAGAUUAAAAUCAUACCUAAACUGUCUAAUUCACUGUAAAACUCCAUGACAUUCGCAGGCCAUCUGUAGUUAAGGGAGCAACGCAUGGAGUGAUGUGUAGAUUACUAGUUUGAUGAUGCAUGAGGAGAGGCGGUGGUCGAGUGGCAGAAACUUGGACUAUGGGCAGAGAAGGUCUCUGGUUCGUCUUUGGUUCGACUCCAUGGAGAGACAACAAAAGUCGAACCUGGAUUGAUCUGUCCAAAAAUCCAAGAGUCUCCCUACCCUCUCUAGUGCCCAUGAGCAAGGCACCUCACUCCCCCAACAUCUGCUCCCCCGAGCGCCGUACAUGGUCGCUCACUGCUCUGUGUGUCCUGCACCAGAUGGGUAAAAAGCAGCGAUUAAAUUUCCCUACCUGCAUGAGUGUGCCUUUGCAUGUCUGUGCAUGUGUUUGGGAUGAAUAAAUGGAUUUUAAUCUUAA